Molecule: microRNA precursor, 109 nt
Organism: Sorghum bicolor (sorghum)
Lineage: Eukaryota; Viridiplantae; Streptophyta; Magnoliopsida; Poales; Poaceae
Rfam family: MIR5565 microRNA precursor family
Source: Rfam
GUUGCUGUAUUCACUUUAAUCCAUGUGUGUUGUUGUGGAUUGGGGUGAAAUUUAGUUCAAGUUCUACUCCAAUCCACCUCAACACAUGUGGAUUGAUGUGAAUAUGACU